RNAcentral lists this small nuclear RNA (132 nucleotides) under Erpetoichthys calabaricus (reedfish). Its description in RNAcentral is "U1 spliceosomal RNA (ENSECRG00000016323.1)". It matches the Rfam family "U1 spliceosomal RNA". Rfam says of the family: U1 is a small nuclear RNA (snRNA) component of the spliceosome (involved in pre-mRNA splicing). Its 5' end forms complementary base pairs with the 5' splice junction, thus defining the 5' donor site of an intron. Lineage: Eukaryota; Metazoa; Chordata; Cladistia; Polypteriformes; Polypteridae. The record is from Rfam by way of RNAcentral.
UGACUUACCUGGCAGGGGAGAUACCAUGAACACUAAGGUGGUUCUCCCAGGGCGAGGCUCAUCCAUUGCACUCCAGGUGUGCUGACCCCUGCGAUUUCCCCAAAUGCAGGAAACUCUAUCUAUCUAUCUAUC